This 494-nucleotide ribosomal RNA is filed under the name uncultured bacterium. Its description in RNAcentral is "partial 16S ribosomal RNA". It matches the Rfam family "Bacterial small subunit ribosomal RNA", at positions 28 to 507 of the family's 1533-position model. The record is from RNAcentral.
GACGAACGCUGGCGGCGUGCUUAACACAUGCAAGUCGAACGGAAAGGCCUGCUUUCCCUUGUGGAUUGCGGGUACUCGAGUGGCGAACGGGUGAGUAACACGUGAGUGAUCUGCCCCCAACUUGGGUAUAAGCCUGGGAAACUGGGUCUAAUUCCCGAUAGGACUGCAGGGUGGUUCCUGUGGUGGAAAACGAUUUUCUAGUGGUUGGGGAUGAGCUCGCGGCCUAUCAGCUUGUUGGUGGGGUAAUGGCCUACCAAGGCGGCGACGGGUAGCCGGCCUGGGAGGGUGGACGGCCACAGUGGGACUGAGAUACGGCCCAGACUCCUACGGGAGGCAGCAGUGGGGAAUAUUGCACAAUGGGCGGAAGCCUGAUGCAGCGACGCCGCGUGGGGGAUGACGGCCUUCGGGUUGUAAACUCCUUUCGACCGCGAGGAAGCCACCUGGUUGGAAGGGUGGUGACGGUAGUGGUAGAAGAAGCACCGGCUAACUACGUG